AGUGAUGUAGCUCAGUGGUAGAGCACUUGCCUCGCAUGCAUGAAGCCAUGGGUUCAAUCCAACACCACAA
Molecule: transfer RNA, 70 nt
Filed under: Heterocephalus glaber (naked mole-rat)
Lineage: Eukaryota; Metazoa; Chordata; Mammalia; Rodentia; Bathyergidae
Rfam family: tRNA
About the family: Transfer RNA (tRNA) molecules are approximately 80 nucleotides in length. Their secondary structure includes four short double-helical elements and three loops (D, anti-codon, and T loops). Further hydrogen bonds mediate the characteristic L-shaped molecular structure. tRNAs have two regions of fundamental functional importance: the anti-codon, which is responsible for specific mRNA codon recognition, and the 3' end, to which the tRNAs corresponding amino acid is attached (by aminoacyl-tRNA synthetases). tRNAs cope with the degeneracy of the genetic code in two manners: having more than one tRNA (with a specific anti-codon) for a particular amino acid; and 'wobble' base-pairing, i.e. permitting non-standard base-pairing at the 3rd anti-codon position.
Source: Rfam by way of RNAcentral